CCUAUUCUUCUGGAAUUAGGAAGAAAGGAAAUAAUUAGAAAGAGGGCCGGGAAACAAAAGCAAAGUGGAAAAUAGGAGAAUAAGUUAUGAAAACAGGACUGGAAGGGAAGAGGGGAACAAAUGCUGGGCAUGAUCCAGCUGAAGCUGAGUGCUUUUAAGGCCUAUUGAUUUCAAGGGGGAGGAGAAGAGCCAUAGCCUAGUGGUGGAGUACCUCCUUUGCAUGCAGUGCAGGAGGUCCCAGAUUCAACCUACAGCAUCUCCAGACCUGCUCGACCUGCAGAAAGUGCAAAAUUUACCAGAGAAUCCACAUCCCAGGCCAGGAGGAACAAAUACAUCUUCACUUGACAUUGGAAAGACAUCAGUGAAGGGGACAGCCAUACUUCCAAGAGAAUGGAGUUCUACAACUGGGGUGCCAUAUCAGAGAAGGCCCAGGACUAUGUCACUGCAGAGAGAACCAGGACCAUCAAUGGAACCACCACCGAGGGCUCCAGUACAGAUUUUACUGUGUUUUUGAACAUACAAGGGCUUUGUCUGUGGGAACUCUUGUUCUUGCUACCUUGGACUUCUCUGCGAGCAACUCCUGCACUGGUGCCUCAUUGGACACGUGGAACUUUGGGAAUUAUUAUAUUCUGAAUAUCCAUGUUAUAUUUUGUUGGGGACAUUGCUGCAUUUUUGUUGCUAUAUUUGCUACCUGAUUUAAACUUGCAAAAUAUUACAAAUUGCAAUUGUGUUUUCAUUAUUCAUUUAUAAAAUAACCCCAUAGAACCCACAAGAGAGAGAAAAAUACAUAAUGUCAGACAUGUGUGCUGAUGCGCAAGGUGGCACAACUGGGGUGUAAUUAAGUGUGUGUGCGCAGACGUGCAUACAGGGCUGCGGGGGGCUGGUGCCAGCCUUGAUCAUCAUCAUCCUGUCAGGCAUUCUGUGUUUAAGCCUCUAUUGUGAUACUCAUCUUUUAAGGGGGUGGAGUAGGACUUGUCCCUCUUACUGUAUUGCUUGAUGAGAAUUUUAAUAAUUUUAUAUUGUACCAUUUCUUUUCUUUUUUUAAU
Molecule: long non-coding RNA, 1046 nt
Organism: Rhineura floridana
Lineage: Eukaryota; Metazoa; Chordata; Lepidosauria; Squamata; Rhineuridae
Exons: 4
Source: RefSeq, a predicted model, not a curated record